Molecule: long non-coding RNA, 6233 nt
Organism: Eriocheir sinensis (Chinese mitten crab)
Lineage: Eukaryota; Metazoa; Arthropoda; Malacostraca; Decapoda; Varunidae
Exons: 3
Source: RefSeq, a predicted model, not a curated record
CUUCCUCCUCUUCUUCUUCCUCACACUUGGACGAAACUAACUCUUGCAAAAAAAACACAACCUUUGCGAAACACACAACCCUCAACGAAACACUUCAGACGGAACACACUCGGCGAAACUAACUCUUUCCGAAAAACUGAGCUUCACGAAACACACAACCCUCAACGAAACACUUCAGACGGAACACACUCAUACAAAACUAACUCUUGCCGAAAAACUGAGCUUCAUGAAACACACACACCCCUCAACGAAACACUUCAGACGAAACACACUCAUACGAAACUAACUCUUGCCGAAAAACUGAGCUUCAUGAAACACACACACCCCUUAACGCAACACUUCAGACGAAACUAACUCUUGCCGAAAUACUGAGCUUCAUGAAACACACACACCCCUUAACGCAACACUUCAGUCGAAACACACUCGGCGAAACUAACUCUUGCCGAAAAACUGAGCUUCACGAAACACACACACCCCUUAACGCAACACUUCAGACGGAACACACUCGACGAAACUAACUCUUCCCGACAAACACAGACUUUAAGAAACACACACAACCCUCAACGAAACACUUCCGACGAAAAUAACUCUUGCCAAAAAACACAAACUUUACGAAACACACGCACCCCUCAACGAAACACUUCAGACGAAACUAUCUCUUCCCGACAAACGUAGACUUCACGAAACACACACGGCCCUGAACGAAACACUUUAGACGAAAAUAACUCUUCCCGAAAAACACAUAGACUCCACGAAACACACACACCCCUCAACGAAACUAACUCUCGCCGACAGUACCGAGCCUUUUAUUAUUAUUAUUAUUGUUUCCCUUUUUUGUGCCCUUGAGCUGUCUCCUUCGUUGUAAAAUAAAUAAAUAAAUAAAUAAAUAAAAAAACACAAAUUCCGCGAAACACACAACCCUUGACGAAACACACUCGAAACCAACUCUUGCCAAAACAACACAAACUUCACGAAACACACAGCUACUGGUGGAACGAACCCUUCUCGGAACACACACACACACACACACACACACACACACACUCUGCCGGAACAUGAAAAAGCAACACUUGUCAACACAGAAUGAAACACAAAACUUCUGCCAUCGAAACACUAACACAGCGGCGAAACACAUGCUUGACGAAACUAACUUCACGAAACACAUUUUGGCCGAAACACAUGCUCGAUGAAACACUACAUAGACGAAACUAACUCCCUUGACGAAACGCUAAACACGCUCAACGAAACUCCCUUGACGAAACACUAAACCCACUCAACGAAACACUUUUGACGGAACGCACUCAGGGAACCAGCAGUAACACAUUCUUGACGCAACACUCGAUGAAGAAAAUUUUGACGAUGAUGAAGAAAAAGAAGAAAAAGACGAUGAAGGAGAAGAAGAAGAGGAAACAAAGAAGAACAAGGAAAAGAAACAGAAAACAAAGAAGUUAAAGAAAAAGAAAAAAGAAGAAAAAGAUGAAAAAAAACAAAAAAAAACUAGCCCACUACUGGCGAAACACUUUAUGAAACACACUCUUUGCGAAACACACUCCAGCCCACUCUUGGUGAAACACACUCUUUACAAAACACACUCCAGCCCACUCUUGCUGAAACACACUCUUGACGAAACACCCUGAUGGCGAAACACACUCCAGCCCACUCUUGCCGAAACACACUCUUGACGAAACACCCUGAUGGCGAAACACACUCUUGACAAAACACACUCCAGCCACUCUUGCCGAAACACACUCUUGACGAAACACCCUGAUGGCGAAACACACUCUUGACAAAACCCUGAUGACAAAACACACUUGACAAAACACACUCUUGACAAAACCCUGAUGGCAAAACACACUUGACGAAACACACUCUUGACGAAACACACUCUUGGCGAAACACACUCUUGGCAAAACCCUGAUGGCGAAACACACACUUUGGCGAAUCACACUCUCGGCGAAACACACUCUACGAAACACACUCAACGAAACUAACUCUCUCUACGAAACACACUGCAAAUUUGAGCUUCCCUUCUAAAACGUAAAACAUCAGUCUCGUACAAAACAUCUUCGGAACUUCACAAAUCAUAAUCAUAAAAUCUAAGUUAGCUAACGCAAUCUGACCUCAUUUGCCGUUCUCUAACAUAUCUUUUUAACACAGACUGAAUAUAAUAGGCUAGACUUGACCUCUGUUUUUCUGCUGUAUGUAUUUAUAAAAGCAAUGGAAAACGUAUCGAUCGUAAAUAUUGGUUAUUGAAUGUAAUCUGACCUCAUUUGCUGUUUUCUCUAAUAUCUUUUUAACACAGACUGAAUAUAAUAAGCUAGAUUUGAUGUUUUUUGCUGUUUGUGUUUAUAAGAGCAAUAGAAAACGUAUCAAUCGUAAAUAUUGGUUAUCUUAGUUUGACCUUAAUUUCCAUUCUCUCACAUAUCAUUUUAACACAGACUGAAUAUAAUAGGCUAGAUUUAACCUCUGUUUUUUUGCUGUAUGUAUUUAUAAAAGCAAUAGAAAACGUAUCAAUCGUAAACAUUGGUUAUCUUAGUUUGACCUUAAUUUCCAUUCUCUCACAUAUCAUUUUAACACAGACUGAAUAUAAUAGGCUAGAUUUGACCUCUGUUUUUUUGCUGUAUGUAUUUAUAAAAGCAAUAGAAAACGUAUCAAUCGUAAACAUUGGUUAUCUUAGUUUGACCUUAAUUUCCAUUCUCUCACAUAUCAUUUUAACACAGACUGAAUAUAAUAAGCUAGAUUUGAUGUUUUUUGCUGUUUGUGUUUAUAAAAGCAAUAGAAAACGUAUCAAUCGUAAAUAUUGGUUAUCUUAGUUUGACCUUAAUUUCCAUUCUCUCUAAUAUCUUUUUAACACAGACUGAACAAUAGGCUUCUUUGAUGUAUAUAUAAAAAGCUAUACAAUAUAUCUAAAUCCUAAAAUAUCUAAUCAUUCUAAUACAAUCUGAUCCCUUGUUGUCCUCUCUCUUGCAUGACAGACAGAAUACAGUACUUAAGACUUGAUCUCCCUUCACUGAGGCGUAGAAAUUGAUACAAAAUUCGAAUGCAGGUAACUCUCGAUUUACGCGAGUUUGGUUUACGCGUUUUUGAAAUACCGCGUGGUCCAAAAACCAAAUAGAUGUUUAAUUUACACGUUUUUUUUCACUUAUACGCGAUAUUUUAUGGAGUGGCCACCAGAUGUCUCACGCAACUGGACUCACACGGCCACACAGCUGAGCUCGGUUCUUCCCGCGCGCAACUUGAACAACAACACAGUACCCACGCUGCCACGCUACUCAACAACAACAACAACACCCUCGCUGCUGUGCUACCACGAGGGGAAGGGCAGCCAGAGGAGGAACCACGAGAGGGAGAGGAGUCAGAGUGAUACAAACCUACCUCUUGUUUGAUUUACAGUGUUUUUGAGUUACGCGACCUCUUCAAGGAUACAAUACCCGCGUCAAUCAAGAGUUACCUGUACUAAUAAUUUGGCGAUACUUCUGGCGAGACUGAUGACGAAAAUAAGUCUUGACGAACCACUAAAACAAUCUAAUCUCCUUCUGUUCUCUCUCCAAUACAAUCCGAUCCUUUUCUGUCCUUUCCGUUAAACCACCAUAGACCAAAUACAUUGUUAGACACUAUUUAUAUAACAUCGGAGAGUGUGUGUAUAUGUGAAUAGGUGAAUGGGUUUAAUAAGGGUCGUUAGUGAGGUCCUGGGAGUCUAGUUGAGCCUUGGGGUAUUGUCGGAAAGUCAUGAUUAUUAUUGUUAUUAUUAUUAUUAUUAUUAUUAUUAUUAUUAUUAUUGUCAAACACCUUCAUUCUUUCUUUCUUUACUUCCUCUGUGAUUGACACACACACACACACACACACACACACACACACACACACACACACACACACACAUUCCUCUCCUCCCUUCCUUCCCUUCCUUUCUUUCCCUCCUCCUCCUCAUCUUCUUCUUCCUCCUCUCUCUCCUCUUCCUCUUCCUCUCCAUUUCCUUCCUUCAUCUUCCUCCUCCUCCUCCUCCUUUUCAUUUCCUUCCUUCAUCUUCCUCCUCCUCCUCCUCCUCUUCUUCUUCUUUCUCUUCCUUCUUUCCUUCCAUUUCCUUCCUCUUCCUCCACCUCUCUCUCUCUCUCUCUCUCUCUCUCCCUACACACACACACACACACACACACACACACACACACACACACACACAGGUAAUACAUAUGAUAAACUAUCCAGAGAGCUUUUGUGACUUAUAAGAAUGUUUGCAUAGCGUGAUUUUUUUUUGUAUAUUUAGCGAGAUGGAAAAAAACACAUUAGAGAAAGAAUGAGGAGGAAAAAGAAGAAGAAGAAGAGUGAAUAUUAUGCAAACAACUUAAUAAUAUCGGAAAUACUAAUUCAACACACACACACACACACACACACACACACACACACACACAUAUAUUAAAAUCAUAACAUAUUAACACUAUCAGUAAAUACCCACUAAGAAAUAUCAUGGAAAAUACUGCUUCGAUGUUUUAAACCGAGCGGGAAAAUGUAUAUAAAUUAAAACUUGUGCAGAACAGUUUAAAAAAAAAUUAAUUAAACACAAAAAAAUUCAAAAUCGUACGAGAAUUGUGCGGAAGAAAUUCGAAAAAAAAAUGGGUUUAAAUAAUUAUAAUCAAUACUGUCCAAAAUCACACAGUCAUUUGAUGCAUAAAGUCUAAAUAUAAAUAUGGUCUAAUUUAGCUUGGUCUCAGUUAACCGGGAAGCAGCGGGGAUCAUGUUUGUUAACCCGUGCGCUUGGGCUACGGGAAGGCUGAGAAGUGGCUGAGAAACAUCAACAUUAACCUGCAUUUUGAGACUAAGAAAAGAUCAUGGAACGUACAUCUGAGUACUCCUCACGACCAUAAAACCAUUAAAAAUACUUACUUUUACCCAAACUCCAUUAUUUUUGUGUUUUUUUUUGUUAACUUAUACCCAAACUCCAUUAUUUUUGUGUUUUUUUUUGUUAACUUAUACCCAAACUCCAUUAUUUUUGUGUGUGGUGUUUGUUACAGAAUAAACAGUCUCGUGACGUGUGGCAUCUACCUGAGAGUCGCUUGCUGUCUACUAUAGAGAAUUUGACAUGUGAUUCCUGUAUGGGUAGCUAAUUCAGUCUGCCAUGACCUCACAGCACCACCCAUGACAAAAACCCCCACCUCAAAAUCACUCACCCACCACAGUGACCCAGGGCAUGCAUGGUGGGUUGCUCUAUUCCACCACCACCUACAAUCAGCUCGAAUUAGGUGUUUUAUGGCGAGCCCUGUUUAGGGUCCACCGUAUCACAGCCACGACCCGGGUUAAUGGUCCCUCCAAGCGAGAAAAAUGAGACUAAUCACCCCUCACACAAACUAUUUUAUAAUAUAUAUCGAAGCGUUUGUGAUCAGAUUAUGCAUCAUCUAUUUUUGGGGGGAUUAUAUCAUGGCACAAAUUUGGCCCGUCGCUGCUACUGGGUUAAAGGUCCCUCCAAGCAAGAAAAAUGAGACUAAUCACCCCUCACACAAACCAUUUCAUAAUACAUAUCAAAGCAUUUGUGAUCAGAUUAUGCAUCAUCUAUUUUUUUGGGGGUUAUAUCAUGGCACAAAUUUGGCCCGUCGCUGCUACUGGGUUAAUGGUCCCUCCAAGCGAGAAAAAUGAGAAAAAAUCACCCCUCACACAAACCAUUUCAUAAUAUAUAUCAAAGGAUUUGUGAUCAGUUUAUGUAUCAUCUAUUUUUGGGGGAUUAUAUCAUGGCACAAAUUUGGCCCGUCGCUGCUACUGGGUUAAUGGUCCCUCCAAGCGAGAAAAAUGAGACUAAUCACCCCUCACACAAACUAUUUCAUAAUAUAUAUCGAAGCGUUUGUGAUCAGAUUAUGUAUCAUCUAUUUUGGGGGGGAUUAUAUCAUGGCACAAAUUUGGCCCGUCACUGCUACACGGGUUAAAGGUCCCUCCAAGCAAGAAAAAUGAGAAAAAAUCACCCCUCACACAAACCAUUUCAUAAUAUAUAUCAAAGCGUUUGUGAUCAGAUUAUGUAUCAUCUAUUUUUGGGGGAUUAUAUCAUGGCACAAAUUUGGCCCGUCGCUGCUACACGGGUUAAUACGGUCUAAAUAUGUUCUGAAUUCACACGGUCUUAAUCGGAAGGUGUUUGGACGAGAACAAGAAAGUUAAACCACAAAAAAUAUUACUUAACACUAAACAAUAUCAACGCAAAUACUGAUGGAGUUACCAACACACACACACACACACACACACACACACACACACACACA